GAUGAACGCUGGCGGCGUGCCUAAUACAUGCAAGUCGAGCGAACAGACGAGGAGUUUGCUCCUCUGACGUUAGCGGCGGACGGGUGAGUAACACGUGGAUAACCUACCUAUAAGACUGGGAUAACUUCGGGAAACCGGAGCUAAUACCGGAUAAUAUAUUGAACCGCAUGGUUCAAUAGUGAAAGACGGUUUUGCUGUCACUUAUAGAUGGAUCCGCGCCGCAUUAGCUAGUUGGUAAGGUAACGGCUUACCAAGGCAACGAUGCGUAGCCGACCUGAGAGGGUGAUCGGCCACACUGGAACUGAGACACGGUCCAGACUCCUACGGGAGGCAGCAGUAGGGAAUCUUCCGCAAUGGGCGAAAGCCUGACGGAGCAACGCCGCGUGAGUGAUGAAGGUCUUCGGAUCGUAAAACGCUGUUAUUAGGGAAGAACAAAUGUGUAAGUAACUAUGCACGUCUUGACGGUACCUAAUCAGAAGGCCACGGCUAACUACGU
This 496-nucleotide ribosomal RNA is filed under the name uncultured bacterium. RNAcentral describes it as "partial 16S ribosomal RNA". It matches the Rfam family "Bacterial small subunit ribosomal RNA", at positions 28 to 506 of the family's 1533-position model. The record is from RNAcentral.